This 70-nucleotide transfer RNA is filed under the name Merluccius merluccius (European hake). Its description in RNAcentral is "transfer RNA-Trp". It matches the Rfam family "tRNA". From Rfam's summary of the family: Transfer RNA (tRNA) molecules are approximately 80 nucleotides in length. Their secondary structure includes four short double-helical elements and three loops (D, anti-codon, and T loops). The record is from RNAcentral. Lineage: Eukaryota; Metazoa; Chordata; Actinopteri; Gadiformes; Merlucciidae. RNAcentral also lists the same sequence under 2 other names.
AGGGGCUUAGGAUGGACCAGACCAAGAGCCUUCAAAGCUCUCAGCGGAGGUGAGAACCCUCCAGCCCCUG